RNAcentral lists this transfer RNA (72 nucleotides) under Ovis aries (sheep). It matches the Rfam family "tRNA". Rfam says of the family: Transfer RNA (tRNA) molecules are approximately 80 nucleotides in length. Lineage: Eukaryota; Metazoa; Chordata; Mammalia; Artiodactyla; Bovidae. The record is from Rfam by way of RNAcentral.
UCCCUGGUGGCUCAGAUGGUAAAGCGUCUGCCUGCAAUGCGGGAGACCCGGGUUCAAUCCCUGGCCCUGGAG